GGAAAGUCGGCGCGGGCGGAUGCUCGCUUGUAAUCGGUCAGGUCCGAAAGGAAGCAGCCACCAACGAUUUCUCCGGGUCGUGUCCGGCUUUCCACU
This 96-nucleotide signal recognition particle RNA is filed under the name Alphaproteobacteria bacterium. Its description in RNAcentral is "signal recognition particle sRNA small type". It matches the Rfam family "Bacterial small signal recognition particle RNA". From Rfam's summary of the family: The signal recognition particle (SRP) is a universally conserved ribonucleoprotein involved in the co-translational targeting of proteins to membranes. The record is from RNAcentral. Lineage: Bacteria; Pseudomonadati; Pseudomonadota; Alphaproteobacteria.